UAAGGCUCUUUUUUUCCCCUGGUGAAGAAUCUCGAGCAAAAAUGGACCCAAAAAUGGAUUCAACUCGGACUGAAAGAGUCGUCAUAUUAGUCGCAUCCAGAGCUGCAGGACACAUGGAGGAAACGGCAGCACUGGGAGUUCAGAGAUCUGCUGCCGACACCAAAAACAGCAAACCUGAAGACGACUCCAGUUCAAAGAAGGAGUUUCCUGCUGGCAAACUGUAGACCAGACGACUGCUGUCUCCAACAUCAGGGUCCGAGGCCUGAGGG
Molecule: long non-coding RNA, 269 nt
Organism: Gambusia affinis (western mosquitofish)
Lineage: Eukaryota; Metazoa; Chordata; Actinopteri; Cyprinodontiformes; Poeciliidae
Exons: 3
Source: RefSeq, a predicted model, not a curated record